RNAcentral lists this non-coding RNA (84 nucleotides) under Halothiobacillaceae bacterium. Lineage: Bacteria; Pseudomonadati; Pseudomonadota; Gammaproteobacteria; Chromatiales; Halothiobacillaceae. The record is from RNAcentral.
UAGCGAAACAGGGCGGGCGCGGCCUCCACCGCGCCAUGCCAUGUCGCCCGGAUGUGGUGAUCCGGGCCUGAUGAGCAGCCAGAC